This 273-nucleotide ribosomal RNA is filed under the name uncultured bacterium. Its description in RNAcentral is "partial 16S ribosomal RNA". It matches the Rfam family "Bacterial small subunit ribosomal RNA", at positions 524 to 796 of the family's 1533-position model. The record is from RNAcentral.
UACGUAGGGAGCAAGCGUUGUUCGGAUUUACUGGGCGUAAAGGGCGCGUAGGCGGCAAAUCAAGUCAGCUGUGAAAUCUCCGAGCUUAACUCGGAACGGUCAGCUGAUACUGUUUUGCUAGAGUGCAGAAAGGGCAAUCGGAAUUCUUGGUGUAGCGGUGAAAUGCGUAGAUAUCAAGAGGAACACCUGAGGCGAAGGCGGGUUGCUAGGCUGACACUGACGCUGAGGCGCGAAAGCCAGGGGAGCAAACGGGAUUAGAUACCCCUGUAGUCC